CUGAUGGCCUCCAGGUAGCUCUCCGAUUUGCCCGGCUGAUCUGGGGUUUCAAAGAAAGGGAGAACAAAGUUGCACAGAAAACACAACGGCUGCAAGGACGGUAUCAAAAAGCAAGCCUCAUCAGCUGGAUGCUGAUUUGAACUGAGGGAAGGAUUAUGUCACAGAGAGAGGACCGGAUGGGUUUGGGAUUUCCCGAGGUGGACACAGAGAUGACGGCUGUGCUGUCUGUGAAAGGUGGCUGACCUUUCCACUGGCUACUGAGGCCCACAACGUAACCAGUCUGGUCAUACUGGAAACCCCUGGACAUUUAUAACCUGCCUUCACUGGCUUUAAACUCGACUGCUUUAGACCAACAGCACA
Molecule: long non-coding RNA, 360 nt
Organism: Gambusia affinis (western mosquitofish)
Lineage: Eukaryota; Metazoa; Chordata; Actinopteri; Cyprinodontiformes; Poeciliidae
Exons: 3
Source: RefSeq, a predicted model, not a curated record